GCUCCCCUCCCUACACAUGAGAAGGCUCUGAUGGUGACACCAGAGGAGGAGGAAGACCAUGGCCCUAGGAGGGAAGGUUGUAUCGAGGAAGUGAACUGACAUCUCCGAUGGUGGUGCCACAGAGGGCUUUGGUUUCCUCAAUCGCAGCGCACAAUUCAGGGAGAGAGAACUCCUGGGAAGAGACAGCAUCCACCUCACAUGGAGAGAAAUGCUGAGUCAAUUCCAAGCUGAUGCAUCUUCUUCAGCUGACCCCAAAGAAGCAAACAGCAGACAGGGUCUCAUGCUGGGGAAUUUCUGCCAGAAAUAUUAAGGCACGACAAGACAUCUGAAGGGUGCAGUGGAUGUCAGCUUGGAAUUUCCUACUGUUUGUCGCUUAGCCCAAGUCGAUGAAUGUAAUAUCCACAGGGAUCUCUUUGCAUCUAUCAAGAAACCAAUACAAACUUCUUAUUUCCUCCCCAAAGAGAAACAUCCUUCCAGGCAAACAUCCUUCUUUAGUUGUGAAGAGUGACUCAAGGCACCUGGCUCAAGAUGAUAAACGGAAAGGCUAUGCAAAGCUUCCUGCACAUGCUGACCCAGAGAGACAAAUACUAGGCUUGAAAACACAGGAAUGGUUGGUGAUACCCUUUCUGUAUACCACAAAUGUGCCCUGCAAGGAUUAUUUCCGAGACAACAAAGGGAUCUCUUCAUUUGAUGGAGGUCAACAAUUUCCAGCCGAGCAGAAACAGGAGAAGCAGUAUACACACAGAGUGAGCAUUAUAUGCAGAUGCAAGACUGAGACCAUUCUGCUGAAUAUGGGGGAGAUGGGAAAGAGCAGGCCCAAUCCUGCAAGGCAGCAAAUGUCUCCAGUAAGGUGUUUACCCCCUUCAGUGCCCCUUGGGGCCAAAGAAGCACAAGGAUGCUCAGCUCCAUUAUGAGUUCACCAGAAAGAUUCGUGCUUCGGAAAACAUCACUGAAACAUGAGACCAAACCUCUGCACUGAUAAGGGGGAAUAAA
Long non-coding RNA from Alligator sinensis (Chinese alligator), 993 nucleotides. RefSeq lists it as uncharacterized. NCBI's taxonomy places the organism in Eukaryota, Metazoa, Chordata, Crocodylia, Alligatoridae. The transcript has 6 exons. The record is from RefSeq and is a predicted model, not a curated record.